Bombus impatiens (common eastern bumble bee) is the source of this 2337-nucleotide RNA transcript. It is a transcript of the gene named SET and MYND domain-containing protein 4-like, with no coding region annotated. The record is from RefSeq and is a predicted model, not a curated record. The transcript has 6 exons. NCBI's taxonomy places the organism in Eukaryota, Metazoa, Arthropoda, Insecta, Hymenoptera, Apidae.
AUGGAUAUAGCAAAGGAAUUAGUAUUAAAUUUGAAACAAACUAAUGUAUCACAUGCAGGGUAUGGUUUACAAAAAGAAUGUGAAUCUCUUAUUGGUCAUAUUUUACAAAACAUGGUAAAGUCUCAAUUUCCAGAAUUAAUUCCUGAAGUAAAAAAUGAGGAAGAUUCUAUCCACUAUAGAGAAGAAGGAAACCAACAUUUUGUAAUGGGUGAUGAUAAUGAAGCUAUAAAAUAUUAUACAAUGAGUUUAGCAUAUGCAAAUGAUAAUGAACUUAUGUCAUAUGCUUAUGCCAAUCGGUCUGCUGCUUUAUAUAGAAAACAAAUGUUCAAAGAAUGUUUGAUAGAUAUUGAUGCUGCUUUAAGUCUUGGAUAUCCAGAAGAAAAAAGGAAAAAUCUGAAAGAAAGGGGAGCCAAGGCUAUCGAAGAAAUUAAGAAAAGAUUACAACUUACAAAGGAUGAUCAUAUUGAUAUAGAAACACUUAAGAAUAUGUGUUUAUCAGAAAAAAUAAAUGAGGAACCUGGAGGUGUAAGAUAUAGAAAUGGAAAGGUUAAACUUUCAGAAGAUAUGAGUAAAAAUUUUAGCAUCAAUGAAAAGAAAGAUUUAAUCAAUGAUUCUAAUGGAAUAUCCAAAGAUAAUGAUAAGGAAAAACAACUAAGAUACUUAGCUGAUGAAGGUCCUUUAAAGUUAGCUUAUGGUCCAAGUAAAGAGGCUCCUGCUGCUAGUGAUGGUAUCAGCAUUUCUUUUUCUGAAAAAUAUGGACGUCACUUAGUAGCUACAAAAGAAUUUAAACCAGGAGAUGUAGUUACUAUUGAAAAUCCAUAUGCUUAUGUUAUUUAUACACAAAGGUAUUAUACACAUUGUCAUCACUGUUUAUCAAGAAGCUAUAAUUUAAUUCCUUGUUCACACUGCCCUGUGGCUCAAUACUGUUCAGAAAAGUGUAGAAAAUUAGCUUGGGAAAUGGCUCAUCAAAUAGAAUGUCCAAUUAUGGCAUUAGUAGGAAACUUACUUAAUGUUGAUAAAGAUAAGAUACGAAUGCUUACCAAAAUUAUUAGAUUUCUCAUUGUAAUAACAUCAAAGGGCAAGAAAUUUGAUGAACUGCGAGUGGACAUGGAACUAGCUGAAUCUAAUCCAGAUAACAGAUCUGCAGGAUUUACAGAUGAAGGCAUAUUGGACAGUACCAGCGCACGAUCUGCUUUGAGUCUCGCUACCAAUAUGACAACGCGACCACUUAUUGGAAUCAGUGCUUUUGCUUGCAUCUCAGCUCUUGCAGCUAUCCUCCUAGCCACUCAGACCAAUUUCUUCUGCAAUAAAUAUGAAGUGAACCAAUUAAAAGAUAUUAGCAAUUAUCCAAAGAUCAUAUUCUCUGGAAGCCUUAUGUUUCGCGCUUGUGUUAUAAUGUCUUCAAAUUGUUUUUCAGUGCAACAAGAACCAGGAAUUAAAACAGGUUCAGGAUUAUAUAUAACACAUAGUUUAUACAACCAUUCUUGCGCACCAAAUACAUUUCGUCAUUUUGAAGAGCUAACAAUGAUUACUCGCGCUCUAAGACCAAUAUAUCCUGGAGAUCAAAUAUUCACAAAUUAUGGUGCUGCAUAUGCAUAUAUGACAAAAUCUGAAAGAAGAAAAAAAAUAAUACAAGACUAUUUCUUUGAAUGCGAUUGUAUCGCGUGUGCAUUUGACUGGCCAAUUUACGAUGAAAUUUUGCAAAAACACAUUGGUUCUAUUAAAAAAAAUAAAGAGCUUGUAGAAAGAUUAAAACCUUAUAAGCAAAGAUUGGUAAAAAAUAUGUAUGAUAUUGAUGCAGUAAAGUCAGUCCUUGAUAUAUUAUAUAAGAACGUAUCCCAGCCGUGUGAAGAAAUCGUACACGCGGAACAAUACCUGAAGAGUUAUUACUUAGGUAAAUUUAAGUAAAUAGACAGUGAACUUGCUUAUACUGGUUUAUAUUUGUAGCUUCACUUACUUGUGAGUUCUUAAUUCCAUGCUUUAUAUCCUGCGAACCACCUUUAUUUAAAUACUUCACUUUGUACACUCAUUUCUUGCUUAUAUAUCUAAUAAGGCUGCUUGUAAAUCCAUGGCUUAAACUGCUUUAUAAUAAUUACUUAUUAAUUGCUUGGGGCUGCAAGGACCCAUAAGAGAGGCAUCAACAGCAUACUACAUUAUUAAUGAAAGACAUGAAAUAUUCCUAAAAACAUUUUAUUGAAGUUAUACAUGAUAUUUAUCUAGUUCCUAAGAAAAUGUGCUUCUUAUACACAAUACAUUUGUCUAAAUAUUCAAACUAAUAGAAAUGUGUGUAAUAACAUAAAUAUGAAGGAAAAAAUAUAACAGAGAUAAUGAAAUUGA